Mycena rebaudengoi is the source of this 95-nucleotide non-coding RNA. NCBI's taxonomy places the organism in Eukaryota, Fungi, Basidiomycota, Agaricomycetes, Agaricales, Mycenaceae. The record is from the annotation of a GenBank genome assembly.
GCCCUCGUUGAUUAAAUGGUAAAUCGCCCCACCACCCAUACAAAGGUUUGAAUACUGUUGAGUGGGAGACAGAGGUUCGACUCCUCUCGACGGCA